GCUUUCAUAGAUGAAUUACAUCAGUGGUUUUUCAUAUCAUCAGUCUUGGUUAAAGUCCAUGUGGAAGUG
RNAcentral lists this transfer RNA (69 nucleotides) under Solenostomus paradoxus (harlequin ghost pipefish). RNAcentral describes it as "tRNA-Glu". The record is from RNAcentral. Lineage: Eukaryota; Metazoa; Chordata; Actinopteri; Syngnathiformes; Solenostomidae.